AUGCAGUUUGUGAAAGAAGAGAGAGAAGAGAACAAGAGUGAACCAGACACCAGCACAAUAAAACACGAGGAACCAGAAACCCGGAGAAUAAAACUCGAGGAACCAGAAAUAAAACACGAGGAACCAGAAACAUGGAGAAUAAAACACGAGGAACCAGAAACCCGGAGAAUAAAACUCGAGGAACCACAAACCUGGAGAAUAAAACAUGAGGAACCAGAAACCCGGAGAAUAAAAGACGAGGAACCAGAAAUAAAACACGAGGAACCAGAAACAUGGAGAAUAAAACACGAGGAACCAGAAACCUGGAGAAUAAAACACGAGGAACCAGAAAUAAAACACGAGGAACCAGAAACAUGGAGAAUAAAACACGAGGAACCAGAAACCUGGAGAAUGAAAGACGAGGAACCAGAAAUAAAACACGAGGAACCAGAAACAUGGAGAAUAAAACACGAGGAACCAGAAACAUGGAGAAUAAAACACGAGGAACCAAAAACCUGCAGAAUAAAUCACGAGGAACAAGGAGACACGCAGGAUGACUGCUAGGUUGAUCACUUUCAACAAUGAUGUCCUGGAGGACCAGCAUCUCUGCAGAGUUUAUCUCCAGUCUGUCCGCACCUUUCCGAAGUGUGUGAUGACCCUGAAGACCUCCAUCAGCUGCUUCAGCAGUACAGGACUGAGACAGGACCUUAACUCUGCAAUCAGGACUAGAUGGCAAACAAUACACAAAAGAGAGAAGACAAACAUUAUGUUAAUGGAUUAAAACUAAAGUUAAACAAAAAAUAAAAUAAAAUAUGGUAUAUGGUUUAAUAUCUGAAAAUGGAUAAGGGAGAAAAAAGAAAUUAUCACUUAAAUAUUACAUAGGUUUGUAUGAAUGAAUGUACAUAUAAAUCUAUCAGUUAUGAACAGCCAUACAUUAAUGAUAACGAGAUUUGAUAAGCGUGUGUAGCUGAGGUACUGUAUUAUGCUAUAUUAAUCUUCGUUUAUGUUGCUAUUUAGGAGUUUAUAAGAGACAUUAUACGGACUUAACCUUACUCCAUUAGACUAAUGUUACGUUAUGUACGUUAGGCCUAACGUUACUGCUCGCUGUAAAACAACAAGACAGAAAAGGAAACCCAAUUAACACCACAAUGGACGUAAAUAAAUGUUAAUUUAAUGAAUUCAUGUGCAAUUUGAAAGGAUAUAUUAC
Molecule: long non-coding RNA, 1186 nt
Filed under: Carassius auratus (goldfish)
Lineage: Eukaryota; Metazoa; Chordata; Actinopteri; Cypriniformes; Cyprinidae
Description: lncRNA (ENSCARG00000053556.1)
Source: RNAcentral